Small nuclear RNA from Phyllostomus hastatus (greater spear-nosed bat), 103 nucleotides. The record is from RefSeq and is a predicted model, not a curated record. NCBI's taxonomy places the organism in Eukaryota, Metazoa, Chordata, Mammalia, Chiroptera, Phyllostomidae.
GUGCUUGCUUCAGCAGCACAAGCACUAAACUGGAACGAUACUGAGAUUAGCAUGGCCCCUAUGCAAGGAUGACAUGCAAAUAUAUGAAGGGUUCUGUAUUUUU